CGAGCGGACAGAUGGGAGCUUGCUCCCUGAUGUNAGCGGCGGACGGGUGAGUAACACGUGGGUAACCUGCCUGUAAGACUGGGAUAACUCCGGGAAACCGGGGCUAAUACCGGAUGCUUGAUUGAACCGCAUGGUUCAAUUAUAAAAGGUGGCUUUUAGCUACCACUUACAGAUGGACCCGCGGCGCAUUAGCUAGUUGGUGAGGUAACGGCUCACCAAGGCAACGAUGCGUAGCCGACCUGAGAGGGUGAUCGGCCACACUGGGACUGAGACACGGCCCAGACUCCUACGGGAGGCAGCAGUAGGGAAUCUUCCGCAAUGGACGAAAGUCUGACGGAGCAACGCCGCGUGAGUGAUGAAGGUUUUCGGAUCGUAAAACUCUGUUGUUAGGGAAGAACAAGUACCGUUCGAAUAGGGCGGUACCUUGACGGUACCUAACCAGAAAGCCACGGCUAACUACGUGCCAGCAGCCGCGGUAAUACGUAGGUGGCAAGCGUUGUCCGGAAUUAUUGGGCGUAAAGCGCGCGCAGGCGGUUUCUUAAGUCUGAUGUGAAAGCCCCCGGCUCAACCGGGGAGGGUCAUUGGAAACUGGGGAACUUGAGUGCAGAAGAGGAGAGUGGAAUUCCACGUGUAGCGGUGAAAUGCGUAGAGAUGUGGAGGAACACCAGUGGCGAAGGCGACUCUCUGGUCUGUAACUGACGCUGAGGCGCGAAAGCGUGGGGAGCGAACAGGAUUAGAUACCCUGGUAGUCCACGCCGUAAACGAUGAGUGCUAAGUGUUAGAGGGUUUCCGCCC
Molecule: ribosomal RNA, 795 nt
Filed under: bacterium Pv81
Lineage: Bacteria
Description: bacterial SSU rRNA
Rfam family: Bacterial small subunit ribosomal RNA
Source: RNAcentral